Molecule: non-coding RNA, 76 nt
Organism: Podarcis lilfordi (Lilford's wall lizard)
Lineage: Eukaryota; Metazoa; Chordata; Lepidosauria; Squamata; Lacertidae
Source: the annotation of a GenBank genome assembly
GGCUGGGCCUGGGCUCAGUGGCUGAGCACCUGCCUUGCAUGAAGAAGGCCCUUGGUUCAUUCCCCAAUGGCAGCCC